UACGGGAGGCAGCAGUGGGGAAUAUUGCACAAUGGGCGAAAGCCUGAUGCAGCUAUGCCGCGUGUAUGAAGAAGGCCUUAGGGUUGUAAAGUACUUUCAUCGGGGAGGAAAAAACAAAACUAAUAAUUUUAUUUCUUGACGUUACCCGAAAAAGAAGCACCGGCUAACUCCGUGCCAGCAGCCGCGGUAAUACGGAGGGUGCUAGCGUUAAUCAGAAUUACUGGGCGUAAAGAGCACGUAGGUGGUUUUUUUAAAGUCAGAUGUGAAAUCCCUGGGCUUAACCUAGGAACUGCAUUUUGAAACUAAAAUACUAGAGUAUCGUAGAGGGAGGUAGAAUUCUAGGUGUAGCGGUGAAAUGCGUAGAUAUCUGGAGGAAUACCUGUGGCGAAAGCGGCCUCCUAAACGAAUACUGACACUGAGGGUGCGAAAGCGUGGGGAGCAAACAGGGAUUAGAUACC
RNAcentral lists this ribosomal RNA (458 nucleotides) under uncultured bacterium. RNAcentral describes it as "bacterial SSU rRNA". It matches the Rfam family "Bacterial small subunit ribosomal RNA", at positions 340 to 786 of the family's 1533-position model. The record is from RNAcentral.